UCGGGCGUGGUGCACGGUGUACCGCGGCUAUCAUUCAUCCAGGUUUCGAUAUGCUGCACGCCGCAGCCCGGGGUUCGACUCCCCGCGCCUGAG
This is a non-coding RNA of Mycena rosella, 93 nucleotides long. Lineage: Eukaryota; Fungi; Basidiomycota; Agaricomycetes; Agaricales; Mycenaceae. The record is from the annotation of a GenBank genome assembly.